RNAcentral lists this transfer RNA (76 nucleotides) under Patescibacteria group bacterium. Its description in RNAcentral is "tRNA-Cys". It matches the Rfam family "tRNA". Rfam says of the family: Transfer RNA (tRNA) molecules are approximately 80 nucleotides in length. Their secondary structure includes four short double-helical elements and three loops (D, anti-codon, and T loops). Further hydrogen bonds mediate the characteristic L-shaped molecular structure. tRNAs have two regions of fundamental functional importance: the anti-codon, which is responsible for specific mRNA codon recognition, and the 3' end, to which the tRNAs corresponding amino acid is attached (by aminoacyl-tRNA synthetases). tRNAs cope with the degeneracy of the genetic code in two manners: having more than one tRNA (with a specific anti-codon) for a particular amino acid; and 'wobble' base-pairing, i.e. permitting non-standard base-pairing at the 3rd anti-codon position. The record is from RNAcentral.
GGCCUAGUGGCGAAAUGGUUAACGCGGCUGUCUGCAAAACAGCUAUUCGCCGGUUCGAUUCCGGCCUAGGCCUCCA